This 788-nucleotide non-coding RNA is filed under the name Blaberus discoidalis (tropical cockroach). The record is from RNAcentral. Lineage: Eukaryota; Metazoa; Arthropoda; Insecta; Blattodea; Blaberidae.
AGGGAGUUUUAUUCUUGCUUUUUGAUUUAUUUUAAUUUAAUUUUAUAUGUAUACUAUUGUUCUUCAUUCUCUUGAUGAUUAUUAAGGAUUUAUAGUGCAGUAUUAAAUAUUAAAAAUUGUGGAAAUUUUGAAUUAGUUAAUUUUAUUAAGUAUUGAUUAAAUAUGUGCCAGCUGUCGCGGUUAUACAUAUUAUAUAAAUAAAUGUAUUUAGUUAAUUAGUUAGAUUGUUAUUAUUCAAUAAUUAUUUUAAUAAUUUUUAGGUGAAAUUAAGGACUAUUUGUUUAGGAUAGAUUUUAAUUAAUUGAAGCUAUGAAAUUUAUUAGAUAAACUAGGAUUAGAUACCCUAUUAUUGUGAAUAUAAAUAUUUAGACUUAAGUAGUAAUAGUUAUGGUCUUGAAACUUAAAGAAUUUGGCGGUAUUUUAGUCUGUUUAGAGGAAUCUGUCCCGUGAUCGAUAGUCCGCGUUGAACCUAACUUAAUCAAUAUAGUGUGUAUACCGCCGUUUAUUGAAUAUUUUUUUAGGAUAUUUUCUUUAAAUUUAUUAUAUAAAUUUUAUUUCAGGUCAAGGUGCAGCUUAUAAUUAAGGGGAGAUGGAUUACAUUAUUUUAAAAUAAACGUGUUAUAUUUUGUAAAAUUUAUAUGAAGGUGGAUUUAAUAGUAAUUCUUUGUAGAUUGUAAUUGUGAUUAAAGCUCUAUAAUAUGCACACAUCGCCCGUCACUCUCGUUAAAAUUUUAAAGUGAGAUAAGUCGUAACAAAGUAGGUGUACCGGAAGGUGUAGCUAGAAUGAU